AAGCAUCGUAAAAAUAACAAAAGAUAUCUAAAAAAAGUUAAUUGCUAUUUGGAAAACAGACACUAUUAAGACUUUCCCUAUUCUUCCCCUUCUCAAUCGUCAUUUCCUUUUCAUCAUUUCAUGUGGUCUUAGGUAUCCACUUCUGAUCUUCUUCAAUUAUCACCCUCACACUGUCAGGCACUUCAAAACCCAAGCUCCAAUUUAUGACUUAUCUGCCAAUCAAUUUUUGAUUUUUUUGAUCACCGACAACGAGUCUCCCUCAGUUUUUACCAUUGAAAGGUUCAGAUCCAAACCCAUUUUGGUUGCUUGAACACAUGCAAUGGCUUCUGUCGUGAAAGCUGUAGUAUAUGCAGCGUCAAAAUUAAUCUUCGUGUAUAGGACUACCGGCGUUUUCCAUCGUUCUUACCCCCUUCCAUGGUCAUUUUCCUUUCUUUCCAGGCCAUCAAUCUUUUAAGGACCUCGAGGAACAAAUUUCAGAGGUCAAUUGAGGAAAAUGAAAGGUUUCAGAUUAACCGAGAUGCAAAAUCGAAACGAGUACCAGAGCUCGUGGACUCGUGAAGAUUGGGAGACGGUUGGAGAAUCAACACACUAUCAUCUUGUCUAGCUUUGGUAUAUAGAUACUCUUAUUUUGUUCAAUGACAUGUAUAGAGCUUUUGUUAUUUUGUUAUGUGUCAUUUGAUUAGCCACUACGAAGGCUUGUAAAGGUAUACAUAUUCACUUGUAUGUGGCCAUGGAAUUGGCUCAUAUUGAUGUAGGUUAUGACCUAUAAAUUUUAUGCAUGCUUGUGUUCAGUUGUGCUAGUGAAGGAUGAAAUAUGUUAUCACAUUUAAA
Gossypium arboreum is the source of this 831-nucleotide long non-coding RNA. RefSeq lists it as uncharacterized. Lineage: Eukaryota; Viridiplantae; Streptophyta; Magnoliopsida; Malvales; Malvaceae. The record is from RefSeq and is a predicted model, not a curated record. The transcript is spliced from 5 exons.